This 19-nucleotide non-coding RNA is filed under the name Arabidopsis thaliana (thale cress). Lineage: Eukaryota; Viridiplantae; Streptophyta; Magnoliopsida; Brassicales; Brassicaceae. The record is from RNAcentral.
CUGCCGUGAUCGUGGUCUG